This 92-nucleotide transfer RNA is filed under the name Mycolicibacterium aubagnense. Its description in RNAcentral is "tRNA-Asp". Lineage: Bacteria; Bacillati; Actinomycetota; Actinomycetes; Mycobacteriales; Mycobacteriaceae. The record is from RNAcentral.
CACAUGGCAUGCGGUACGGCAUCAUUCGGACGCUGUCAUCGACCGGCGGUGUCAUCACCGCGGCCGGGCUGAUCUUCGCGGCCUCCAUGUGG